This 727-nucleotide long non-coding RNA is filed under the name Nicotiana tabacum (common tobacco). RNAcentral describes it as "long non-coding RNA (NTAB_LNC019597)". The record is from RNAcentral. Lineage: Eukaryota; Viridiplantae; Streptophyta; Magnoliopsida; Solanales; Solanaceae.
UCGCUACUUAACUAGCUGAAUACUGAUAUUUUUGGCUCAAAUUAACCUCUAUUUGAUUACCAAACUAGGGGAUGAAGCACUUGCGGCGGUUGCUCCUAAGUGGCUGCCAACAAAUUGGGGAUGUUAGCCAUGUCAAGAGGACGCCCUGAACUCAAAUUCUUGAGAUUUGAGUUGCCAAGGGCCUCAUGUUGUUGGUAAGUUUUUGAACAUUUCCAUUUCUACUUUGAGAUUUUGUUGUAUAUGAAAACUGGGACUUUGUCAGGAUAAAAGGACUUCAGGUUCGUUUGUAUGGAGACUCUUGUCAUUUAUUUCCCUCUUGAUAUUCUUAAAUUUAUCAUCUCUUAUUAUUAGGCAUGAUGACAAGCAUUAGGGAAGUUGACAGCCAUGCGCUGAAGUUGCCAGGUAAAAUAUGUACGAAUUACUGGGAGCAAAAGAAUAUAAACCCCUUAAUCCCACCAAAGUAAGAAAGAAAUGUGUUAUAUUUUAAUACAACUUGUAAUAAAAAUCUUCCCAUAUAAUAACGCUGCAAGCAGUGGCGGAUCCAGGAUUCCGAACAAGGGUGUUCAAUAUUAUAAAGAAGUGAACAGUAAAAAUUUCAUCGAAGGGGUUCAUCGAAAUUUGUUGAAUCCAAAUGUAAUGUCAAACAGGUGCAUAAAAUAAAAUCUAAAUAGGAACUAAACUAUCGUCGAAACUCAUGCUAACGAUAUGUUGAAAACGCACACGUACU